GCGGGUGUAGUUCAACGGUAGAACCUUAGCCUUCCAAGCUAAUGAUGUGGGUUCGAUUCCCAUCACCCGCUCCA
RNAcentral lists this transfer RNA (74 nucleotides) under Arenicella chitinivorans. Its description in RNAcentral is "tRNA-Gly". It matches the Rfam family "tRNA". From Rfam's summary of the family: Transfer RNA (tRNA) molecules are approximately 80 nucleotides in length. The record is from RNAcentral. RNAcentral also lists the same sequence under 3 other names. Lineage: Bacteria; Pseudomonadati; Pseudomonadota; Gammaproteobacteria; Arenicellales; Arenicellaceae.